AGAAGAUGAUGAGUAACAAAUUGGUCCGUGUUUCUGAAACAAUCGUGACUGAUAAUCCAUUACCAAUCUCUGAUUCU
Molecule: small nucleolar RNA, 77 nt
Filed under: Macleaya cordata
Lineage: Eukaryota; Viridiplantae; Streptophyta; Magnoliopsida; Ranunculales; Papaveraceae
Description: Small nucleolar RNA SNORD18
Rfam family: Small nucleolar RNA SNORD18
About the family: U18 is a member of the C/D class of snoRNA which contain the C (UGAUGA) and D (CUGA) box motifs. It is encoded in introns of ribosomal protein L1 in Xenopus and human, and in introns of elongation factor 1 beta in yeast.
Source: Rfam by way of RNAcentral